CCAGCAGUCUGCCUCCGCUUGGGCAAUGGCAAGCAAGCUCUAGCUCCAAGCUAAAGCUCAGUGGUGGACUGGACUCUGGUGUGCCUCUCUAUAUAAAUCUAGCUCCCGGAGCUCUUUUCCCCAGCACACCACGCCCGAACCGAAACCGGCACAAAGACAAAAAGUGAUCGACCGGCGGCCGGCCAGGCUAGGCAAGGGCAUCCUCAAUAAGCACGGCCAGAAAGUCAGGGGUAGGGAGAAGGAUGACGAUGGCGAUGGCAAGUAUGCCGCCGGCUUGUGCGGCAACCGAGCUGGUGGCCAAGGGGAGGGAGUCGGCUGCCGUUCUCAAGGCCAUGCUCGGCCAGCUUCCUGCGGCGGCGACGCCCCAUGAUGGUCUCCGGGAUCUGGCCGAGCAGGUCCUCCGCUGCUGCGACCGAGCUCUGGCGGCCUUGCUCAGAGGCGCGGCAACGGAGGAGGCUGCCUGCAGCAGUUCGGCCAGGAAGCGCCGCAAGCAGCCAGCAGAGCGGCAGGGCGGCCUGGCUCCUCCUCCUCCUUCUCCUGCUGCGACGGGAUCCAAGAGGAUGAGGAUGAGCCGUGGAGAGCGGGGGACACGAGCGGAGAAGAAAGAAACAAUGGAGGACGGCUUCAUCUGGAGGAAGUACGGCCAGAAGGACAUCCACGGCAGCAACUACCCCAGGCUCUACUUCCGCUGCACCUACAAGGACGACCGCGGCUGCGAGGCCCGGAGGCAGGUGCAGCGGUCGGACACCGACCCCUGCGCGGCCUACCUCAUCACCUACUUCGGCGAGCACACCUGCUGCUGCCGCGACGACGCCGUCGAGGCGCCAGCGCCAUUCGUCAUCGACUUCGGCUUGAGCGCCGCUGCCUGUGACGACGGCCUGCAGCUGCCGCAAUACGGUUCGCCUUGGCCGUCUUGCGACGACGACGGCCCGGGCCCGGUGGAAUUGCAAACGCCGCCGCCGCGCACAUCAGCUGAUCUGUGCAGUUCACCGCCGGAGGAGGAGUUGCGGGCUGGCGCGUGCGACGUGGCUGAGUUCGUCGCCGAGCAGUCAACGACGGUGACAGCAGAGCUCAUGGGUAGGAUGACCUCGCCGGAGUGGGACGGGUGCUUGGACUGGGAGUUGGGCGAAGGCGACAGCUCACUCGACGUUGACGGUUUCGACAGAUACUACUUCGAUUACAGUGAUCUGCUUUAGAGCCUGUACAAUCUAUUAAUCUAAUUAAAUAAGGAGUUUUUUUGAGCGGUCUCUAGAAGAGACAGAUUCUUCGUCAAGAGUUCGAGAGUUCGUCUCUACUCAAUUUCUAUAUAUAUAUAUAUUAUAUUUUGACUGUAUUUAUUGUUUAGACGUUCACUUUGGAUUAUACACGCC
This 1370-nucleotide unclassified non-coding RNA is filed under the name Zea mays. RNAcentral describes it as "misc RNA Zm00001eb352060". The record is from RNAcentral. Lineage: Eukaryota; Viridiplantae; Streptophyta; Magnoliopsida; Poales; Poaceae.